Molecule: transfer RNA, 72 nt
Filed under: Ictidomys tridecemlineatus (thirteen-lined ground squirrel)
Lineage: Eukaryota; Metazoa; Chordata; Mammalia; Rodentia; Sciuridae
Description: Spermophilus tridecemlineatus (thirteen-lined ground squirrel) tRNA
Rfam family: tRNA
About the family: Transfer RNA (tRNA) molecules are approximately 80 nucleotides in length.
Source: Rfam by way of RNAcentral
UGGGUUGUGGCUCUGCGGUAUAGCACUUGCCUAGCAUGCGUGAGGCACUGAGUUCAAUUCUCAGCACUGCAU